CACGUAGGGGGCAAGCGUUGUCCGGAUUUAUUGGGCGUAAAGAGCUCGUAGGCGGUUCGGUAAGUCGGGUGUGAAACCUCCAGGCUCAACCUGGAGACGCCACCCGAUACUGCUGUGACUCGAGUCCGGUAGGGGAGCGUGGAAUUCCUGGUGUAGCGGUGAAAUGCGCAGAUAUCAGGAGGAACACCAGCGGCGAAGGCGGCGCUCUGGGCCGGUACUGACGCUGAGGAGCGAAAGCGUGGGUAGCAAACAGG
RNAcentral lists this ribosomal RNA (254 nucleotides) under uncultured bacterium. Its description in RNAcentral is "partial 16S ribosomal RNA". It matches the Rfam family "Bacterial small subunit ribosomal RNA", at positions 524 to 776 of the family's 1533-position model. The record is from RNAcentral.